This is a long non-coding RNA of Drosophila yakuba, 3212 nucleotides long. RefSeq lists it as uncharacterized. The transcript is spliced from 2 exons. The record is from RefSeq and is a predicted model, not a curated record. NCBI's taxonomy places the organism in Eukaryota, Metazoa, Arthropoda, Insecta, Diptera, Drosophilidae.
AAUUCGCCGCUUAUCGAGAAUGCAAUUUAUAAUACAAAAUGGCAGUCGAAAGCCGCUCGAGAAAAAGGGACCAUAAUUAAUAUUUAAAGGAUGCAGCCACAAUACUCUGCCCCCGGCUCCCCAUUUCCAGCCCCAUCUGGUGUGCUCUCCUGUUGCUUCAUCGGCGAUUCCAAUCAGAUAACAUUAGCACGUCACAUCACACAGCGUGCAAAAAUUAUUAUUCAUUGAAUUUGUGAUAAAUGUGACAGGCCCAACAGCACUCCGAGGGGUCUCAACAAUGCCGACGGUUCGAAGAGUCGAAGAGUCGACGAGCCGACCAACCAACCGACCUGCCUGCAUUUCCAGGCCAAUAUGGCCAAUGUGGCCAAUAUGGGCCAGGACCGAACCGAACCGAACCAGGCCGCAUCGAAGCUGUCAAAAAUUUGUUGCAAAAAGAUAUUAUCUGGUAUGGAUGGAAAGGACCAGCGAUGACGAUGACGGACCGAGACUGCCAGUGAUGGCAGUUUGGCUAAAAACUGGUGGGAUUCCUCAUUUACCUAAAGUAUAUCUAUAUUACACCAUCCAUCUGGACUGGAUUGGAAGGCUAUUCGGUGGAUAGAAUUGUUAGUUUAUUUAAGCAUGGAUUUUAAAAUCAUGUCUUUGGCAUCACUGGCAAAUGUAGCUGCUCCGGGCUCAUCAAUAAUGAGGCGACGAGGAUGCGGCUGCUCGGCAACGUUGCUGAUGAUGGCAAUGGCGAUGGCCAUGAUCGAUGAUUGACCUGUUUUUGUUGCGCCCAUCUUUAGAGUGACGAUUGCCGGCGAGGCUUCUUCUGGCCCUGACCACGACCACACCCAUUGACAGGCAGCUGCAGUGUGCAAUUAUUUGCGGGCAAUCACAACAGCAGGCGGAGUACUCAAAUGGAAUUGCCACAUUGAUUGAUGUGCUCAAUAAAUUGCACGAUGAGCAGCACAUCAACUGUUUCUGCAGUCCGGCGCUUGGUAUUUGGCAUGUGAUAAGGCCGAUGGGAGCUGACAAGGGAGUCGAGCUGAGCUGAGCAUUUAAAUGUCCAAUAGAUGUCUGCACAAGAGCAUGAGAGCAAUGGGAAUGGACAGUUCAGAACAACCAUUUAUCAAUUCAAAUACAUUUGCACAGCUUGUCUUGGAAAGUGAUUAAGAAUCAUUAGACUAUUUAUUCAGAAUCCGAACUCCGAAAAAUGUACUGACAUUUCAUUUGACACCUUAUGUUCCUGUAUUUCUCGCAUCUGCUGCAGGAAUCUUAAUCCCCAGCGGAAUGCCUUUCGGCGUAUGAAUCAUUGGCAAGGCCCCACAGUCUUCGGGGAACAUUUUAAUUAUGGUUUUUAAUUUCACGGCCCAUAUGGCGGGCUGUCAGGUGAUUUCCCCUGAAAUAUGCGCAGAACUCACAUCUAUCAAGCACGCCUGGUUGGUUGAAUGAAAUUAAGUGUUAAUCUCAUUUGAUUUGUCAUAUUCACAUGACGUGAUUUGGCGGCCUUCGCAGCUCUGGGGCAAUAGAAACGAGAAACGAUCGCUCCUCUGGCUCGUGAUGUAUGGGAAACAAAUGUUUCUCUGACACAUUUAUUUGUUUAAUGAGACGUUGAAUAAUUAGUUGGAUAUGGCACAAGCGCAAGAAAAUACUCGUAUGUACAGCCGAUACAAAGGCGAAAACACAACUUGCAUACUCACAACUGUGGAUUGUGAAUUGUGGAUACCACCAUCCCUACACCCCCGCACACACACAUCAGUUGGCACAGCAAUUUAUAAAUUAUGAUUGACGACUCUGUGUGCGGAAUUGUGUGACCCAUCGCAGUUAGCCCCCCUUUUCAGGGCCUUCCCCACUUCGAAACUCGGCUCCACCAUGUGAGAUUCGUCUGACAUUUUUCUAUAUAGUUUUUUGGCCUGGCCUCGGUCAUUAUGGCUGACAGCGCGCCUUCAAAAUGAUGAGUUUAGAUUGAUGGCCGCACAUCACUCAGCGAGAUGGCAGCCACACCGAGUGGAGAUGGAAGGCUGAAGAGGUUGGGCGAAGUCGAAAUACCCUAUCCAAGGACCAACACGUCCCUGGACGACACUAUCAAAAGCAGCUAGUAAACCCAUGGCCAAGUAUUUGGUUAGGUAAAUAGAUAGACAACGAAAUCUAUGCAAUAUUUGUAUUUUUAUAACUGUUAAUCAUCACUACAAAAUUACUACUAGGCGUGCUUAAAAACAUAGUUCUUUUGGCAUCAAAAAAUCUAAAUAAUAAUAUUUCAUAUGAACAAACUCUUCUUAAUCUCUUCAAAUAAAAGUUUCAGCACAACUCGUUCUAUCCAGUUGCCCUCUAGAGACAGAGCACUAAAAUCCAAUACGACUGCAGGCUAUUUGUGGUUUUGGGCCCAAAUCCUCGUGCUCCGCUGCCUCGCCUGUUGACAUGUCACUAAUUUCGGAAUCGCUAAGCUGAUUUUGCUGAAAUCUGAUUUUUUGUUGUGAGCCAGCCCCUGGGAUAGUGGCCCCAUCCCAUCUUCCUUUCGCAACUCCGACGAUGAUUGAUGUGUUUGGCAUAUGAAAAACCGAGCUGAAAACAAAAACCCUUUUUCCGAAACAUAUUCUGUGUCGUUUUGUGUGCCAGAGGAGAGCGGCGUAGAAAUGUAUUAAUCAUCCGUGGCGAAGCCUAGCGAGUCGAGGUGAUAAAUUAAGUUUGAAGACGAUUGGGAAAGUCUGUCGAGUAAUUAGUGAACUGAGCCGGGUCUGGAUUGGAUUGGGCUCUCUGGUCGGGUCGUGUCUUUCCACAUCCCAAAGGCCCACGUUGCCUUGGAGGCGGUGGCGGUGGCGGCGGCCUAAGAGAGCAAUAAUGAUGUGAGUGACAGAAGAAAUGCAAGAGACCGAAAUUAAAUAUGAUAAAAGACCCACACAGUCUGUUGGCAUAAUUAAGUAUGACAUGCAAAAGUAUGAAUUAUCACUGAAAUGUCAAAGUGUCACAGCUGCCAUCAGGAGGCGAUGGAAAUGCAGAUGGAGAUGGGGAUGGGGAAUCUGGCGGAAGGCAUAAAUAAAACCAGAGAAGAGAGUGCAAGAAGCCAUGACAACGAACGCCGCGUGUGGGAUUAACUGACUUGAAAAUUUAUGAUAUGAAAAAUUACUUUAGCCCGACACACACACACACUCGCACACACAGCUCAUGGCAUACAAAACUGCAAACUGAAAGAUGCAAAGUGGCGGGCGAGAUACAAAUACACAAAGAGAGAUGUU